Molecule: ribosomal RNA, 231 nt
Filed under: uncultured bacterium
Lineage: Bacteria
Description: partial 16S ribosomal RNA
Rfam family: Bacterial small subunit ribosomal RNA
Source: RNAcentral
CGGACGGGUGAGUAAUGUCUGGGAAACUGCCUGAUGGAGGGGGAUAACUACUGGAAACGGUAGCUAAUACCGCAUAACGUCGCAAGACCAAAGAGGGGGACCUUCGGGCCUCUUGCCAUCGGAUGUGCCCAGAUGGGAUUAGCUAGUAGGUGGGGUAACGGCUCACCUAGGCGACGAUCCCUAGCUGGUCUGAGAGGAUGACCAGCACACUGGAACUGAGACACGGUCCAG